AGAGUUUGAUCAUGGCUCAGAACGAACGCUGGCGGCAGGCUUAACACAUGCAAGUCGAGCGCCUCGCAAGAGGAGCGGCAGACGGGUGAGUAACACGUGGGAACGUGCCCAAAGGUACGGAACAACUCCGGGAAACUGGAGCUAAUACCGUAUGUGCCCGAAAGGGGAAAGAUUUAUCGCCUUUGGAUCGGCCCGCGUCUGAUUAGCUAGUUGGUAGGGUAAUGGCCUACCAAGGCGACGAUCAGUAGCUGGUCUGAGAGGAUGACCAGCCACACUGGGACUGAGACACGGCCCAGACUCCUACGGGAGGCAGCAGUGGGGAAUAUUGGACAAUGGGCGCAAGCCUGAUCCAGCCAUGCCGCGUGAGUGAUGAAGGCCUUAGGGUUGUAAAGCUCUUUCGCCAGGGACGAUAAUGACGGUACCUGGAUAAGAAGCCCCGGCUAACUUCGUGCCAGCAGCCGCGGUAAUACGAAGGGGGCUAGCGUUGUUCGGAAUUACUGGGCGUAAAGCGUAUGUAGGCGGAUCUUUAAGUCAGGGGUGAAAUCCCGAGGCUCAACCUCGGAACUGCCUUUGAUACUGGGGAUCUUGAGUCCGGGAGAGGUGAGUGGAACUGCGAGUGUAGAGGUGAAAUUCGUAGAUAUUCGCAAGAACACCAGUGGCGAAGGCGGCUCACUGGCCCGGUACUGACGCUGAAAUACGAAAGCGUGGGGAGCAAACAGGAUUAGAUACCCUAGUAGUCC
RNAcentral lists this ribosomal RNA (740 nucleotides) under uncultured bacterium. RNAcentral describes it as "bacterial SSU rRNA". It matches the Rfam family "Bacterial small subunit ribosomal RNA", at positions 8 to 796 of the family's 1533-position model. The record is from RNAcentral.